Cricetulus griseus (Chinese hamster) is the source of this 151-nucleotide small nuclear RNA. Its record names the gene U1. It matches the Rfam family "U1 spliceosomal RNA". Rfam says of the family: U1 is a small nuclear RNA (snRNA) component of the spliceosome (involved in pre-mRNA splicing). The record is from Ensembl. NCBI's taxonomy places the organism in Eukaryota, Metazoa, Chordata, Mammalia, Rodentia, Cricetidae.
AAAAUUCUAGCAGGAGAGACACCAUGAUCUAGAAGGUAGUUUUCCCAGGACAAGGCUCAUCCAUUCUAUUUGGAAUAUGUUGACCUCUGCCGUCUCCCCAAAAAAUGGGGAACUUGACUGCAUUAUAUGUGAUGAGAAAUUGAGCUUCAGA